This 475-nucleotide long non-coding RNA is filed under the name Phasianus colchicus (ring-necked pheasant). Its description in RNAcentral is "lncRNA (ENSPCLG00000004263.1)". Lineage: Eukaryota; Metazoa; Chordata; Aves; Galliformes; Phasianidae. The record is from RNAcentral.
GUACAGCAUGAUGAUCACUGUCAACAUCUGCAAGAAAUGACACGGGAAUAUGAUGAGUCACCUAAUUUCAAAAUCCCACUUUGGUACCAGAACAGAAACUUCACCGUGCUGGAAGAGUACUCCUAUAGACCAGGCUUCGCCCCUGGCCAAUUCACGUCAUUCAGAAAAUGGUCCUUUUGAAAGAGCCUGCAAACGAGGCAGAAGUUGUGCAAGAGAGCUGAACUCUGAACUCAAUUCUUAUCUAACCAUAGAAUAACAAACAAUCUCUUGCAUCUUGUUCAAAAGUUGAAAGAAUGAAAGGCUCCUGUUGCUUACUGCAAACAAUGUAUAUGCUGUCUGCCUGUGUUUACAUUUAGAAUCUAAAGCUCAAAUUAAAUGGAACAGGGGAAAAAUGUGGUUGUCAAGUAUUUUUACAGGGGUAAGAUAACAUGCCAAAAAGUCAACAAGGCAUGUCAGCUGAUUAGGGAACUGAAAC